GGGGCAAGGGGGGGGGGCCUAUACAUGGCAAGUCGAACGCUUUGUGGUUCAACUGAUUUGAAGAGCUUGCUCAGAUAUGACGAUGGACAUUGCAAAGAGUGGCGAACGGGUGAGUAACACGUGGGAAACCUACCUCUUAGCAGGGGAUAACAUUUGGAAACAGAUGCUAAUACCGUAUAACAAUGACAACCGCAUGGUUGUUAUUUAAAAGAUGGUUCUGCUAUCACUAAGAGAUGGUCCCGCGGUGCAUUAGCUAGUUGGUAAGGUAAUGGCUUACCAAGGCGAUGAUGCAUAGCCGAGUUGAGAGACUGAUCGGCCACAAUGGGACUGAGACACGGCCCAUACUCCUACGGGAGGCAGCAGUAGGGAAUCUUCCACAAUGGGCGAAAGCCUGAUGGAGCAACGCCGCGUGUGUGAUGAAGGGUUUCGGCUCGUAAAACACUGUUGUAAGAGAAGAAUGACAUUGAGAGUAACUGUUCAAUGUGUGACGGUAUCUUACCAGAAAGGAACGGCUAAAUACGUGCCAGCAGCCGCGGUAAUACGUAUGUUCCAAGCGUUAUCCGGAUUUAUUGGGCGUAAAGCGAGCGCAGACGGUUAUUUAAGUCUGAAGUGAAAGCCCUCAGCUCAACUGAGGAAUUGCUUUGGAAACUGGAUGACUUGAGUGCAGUAGAGGAAAGUGGAACUCCAUGUGUAGCGGUGAAAUGCGUAGAUAUAUGGAAGAACACCAGUGGCGAAGGCGGCUUUCUGGACUGUAACUGACGUUGAGGCUCGAAAGUGUGGGUAGCAAACAGGAUUAGAUACCCUGGUAGUCCACACCGUAAACGAUGAGUGCUAGGUGUUUGAGGGUUUCCGCCCUUAAGUGCCGCAGCUAACGCAUUAAGCACUCCGCCUGGGGAGUACGACCGCAAGGUUGAAACUCAAAGGAAUUGACGGGGACCCGCACAAGCGGUGGAGCAUGUGGUUUAAUUCGAAGCAACGCGAAGAACCUUACCAGGUCUUGACAUCCCUUGACAACUCCAGAGAUGGAGCGUUCCCUUCGGGGACAAGGUGACAGGUGGUGCAUGGUUGUCGUCAGCUCGUGUCGUGAGAUGUUGGGUUAAGUCCCGCAACGAGCGCAACCCUUAUUACUAGUUGCCAGCAUUCAGUUGGGCACUCUAGUGAGACUGCCGGUGACAAACCGGAGGAAGGUGGGGAUGACGUCAAAUCAUCAUGCCCCUUAUGACCUGGGCUACACACGUGCUACAAUGGCGUAUACAACGAGUUGCCAACCCGCGAGGGUGAGCUAAUCUCUUAAAGUACGUCUCAGUUCGGAUUGUAGGCUGCAACUCGCCUACAUGAAGUCGGAAUCGCUAGUAAUCGCGGAUCAGCACGCCGCGGUGAAUACGUUCCCGGGUCUUGUACACACCGCCCGUCACACCAUGAGAGUUUGUAACACCCAAAGCCGGUGGGGUAACCUUCGGGAGCCAGCCGUCUAAGGGGAACCAAACGG
This 1489-nucleotide ribosomal RNA is filed under the name Weissella confusa. RNAcentral describes it as "bacterial SSU rRNA". It matches the Rfam family "Bacterial small subunit ribosomal RNA". The record is from RNAcentral. Lineage: Bacteria; Bacillati; Bacillota; Bacilli; Lactobacillales; Lactobacillaceae.